AGCCCCGUGGUGUAGUGGUCAAUCAUGUGAGGCUCUGGACCUCACGACCCAGGUUCGAAUCCUGGCGGGGCUA
Molecule: transfer RNA, 73 nt
Filed under: Thermoplasmata archaeon
Lineage: Archaea; Methanobacteriati; Thermoplasmatota; Thermoplasmata
Also listed under: 1 other name
Description: tRNA-Gln
Rfam family: tRNA
About the family: Transfer RNA (tRNA) molecules are approximately 80 nucleotides in length. Their secondary structure includes four short double-helical elements and three loops (D, anti-codon, and T loops).
Source: RNAcentral